AUUGAACGCUGGCGGCAGGCUUAACACAUGCAAGUCGAACGAGUGGCGGACGUGUGAGUAAUGCUUGUGACUCUUGCUUAUGGAGGGGGUUCACUACGGGACACUGUAGCUACUACCGCGUACCAUAGGAUGAGCCCAAGUGGGAUUAGGUAGUUGGUGAGGUAAAGGCUCACCAAGCCGACGAUCUCUAGCUGGUCUGAGAGGAUGACCAGCCACACUGGAACUGAGACACGGCCCAGACUCCUACGGGAGGCAGCAGUGGGGAAUAUUGCGCAAGGGGGGAAACCUGACGCAGCCAUGCCGCGUGAAUGAAGAAGGUCUUCGGGUUGUAAAGUUCUUUCGGUAGCGAGGCGUUAACUACAGAAGAAGCACCGGCUAACUCCGUGCCAGCAGCCGCGGUAAUUC
Molecule: ribosomal RNA, 405 nt
Filed under: uncultured bacterium
Lineage: Bacteria
Description: partial 16S ribosomal RNA
Rfam family: Bacterial small subunit ribosomal RNA
Source: RNAcentral